GACGAACGCUGGCGGCGUGCCUAAUACAUGCAAGUAGAACGCUGAAGGAGGAGCUUGCUCUUCUGGAUGAGUUGCGAACGGGUGAGUAACGCGUAGGUAACCUGCCUGGUAGCGGGGGAUAACUAUUGGAAACGAUAGCUAAUACCGCAUAACAGUAGAUGUUGCAUGACAUUUGCUUAAAAGGUGCAAUUGCACCACUACCAGAUGGACCUGCGUUGUAUUAGCUAGUUGGUGGGGUAACGGCUCACCAAGGCGACGAUACAUAGCCGAUCUGAGAGGGUGAUCGGCCACACUGGGACUGAGACACGGCCCAGACUCCUACGGGAGGCAGCAGUAGGGAAUCUUCGGCAAUGGACGGAAGUCUGACCGAGCAACGCCGCGUGAGUGAAGAAGGGUUUCGGAUCGUAAAGCUCUGUUGUAAGAGAAGAACGAGUGUGAGAGUGGAAAGUUCACACUGUGACGGUAGCUUACCAGAAAGGGACGGCUAACUACGUG
Molecule: ribosomal RNA, 495 nt
Filed under: uncultured bacterium
Lineage: Bacteria
Description: partial 16S ribosomal RNA
Rfam family: Bacterial small subunit ribosomal RNA
Source: RNAcentral